Molecule: non-coding RNA, 117 nt
Filed under: Macaca nemestrina (pig-tailed macaque)
Lineage: Eukaryota; Metazoa; Chordata; Mammalia; Primates; Cercopithecidae
Source: Rfam by way of RNAcentral
GCUGGGUGUGGUGGCUCACACCUGUAAUCCCAGCACUUUGGGAGGCUGAGAUGGGUGGAUCACCUGAGGUCAGGAGUUCGAGGCCAGCCUGGCCAAAAUGGUGAAACCCCGUCUCUA